This 23-nucleotide non-coding RNA is filed under the name Arabidopsis thaliana (thale cress). Lineage: Eukaryota; Viridiplantae; Streptophyta; Magnoliopsida; Brassicales; Brassicaceae. The record is from RNAcentral.
GGUGUCCAAACGCAAGCAACUCC